GUUAAGUAUUUUGAGUUUCAGCCUCUGGCACCUGAAACUGCCUGGAAACAGCAAAGUGUGAGACCCUGAGGAUGGAGUAGGCUGAGACAGAGAUAUCUCAUUCUCUUUGUUGUAAAAGAGAGCAGGCAAGUAUUCAUGAUGUAUUUUUUUAACCUGCUUUAUCUCUGUCUCAUGGUACAGCUUUAACCUGUUGGAUAUUUUUUUAAUUUUCAAAUUAUGGCAAAUGAAUGCAUUCUAUAGUCAGUGGCUCAGCUCAGCAUUGUAAGGAAUGCUUAACAUCAGAGGGGGUCUAGCAGUACUUAAGUUUAAAGCACAAGUAUUAAUGGGUUCCAAAUUCUGCAGUAGGAAUGGAUAUGUAGGAAUACUGCCAAAAUGGGAAGGAUAGAAAAAGAAAGGUAAUAGGAGCAUUUUCUAGAGUCUUCUGAGAUCCACUGUCAGGUAAACAAAUAGGAUAAUUUUGCCACUGAGAAAAUUACAUGAAUUAGGAGGUUGUAGUUCUGUCAUGACCCUGUGCAGGAAUUUCAGAUACCCUACAAAUGACCAGUAAGAAAGGACUUGGUGUGGGACAGGAACUGGAGUUGAAAUCCAAAAGCUAUAAAUCCUAGAAAAUGGCAGAAAUUCAUUCAAUUGAGAUGGAAAAUAGCAAAGAAAUAUCUAAAUAAUCUCCUGACUAAGCAGACCACACAAAAAUAGAUAAGUGGAACAAGAGCAAAACUGGUGUUCUGUGCAAGCACUGGAAGUUUAAAAACUUGAUGAGGAUGUCUCACUCUAAAGGAGCACUCUGAUAGAGAAGGAAUGGCAUUAAAGCCUCUCCCAUACUUGAUGGCCAAAAGAGAUGAGGAUGCCAAGGUUAGGAAAAGAAUAGCAAAUAAACAGGAAAUACACCACUGUACAAAUCCAUUGUGCAUCCUUCCUUAUCUCUGUGUAAUUUAGAGAAGGCCAAGAAAUAAGAUGGCUUGGUACAAUUCGCACAGAAGGAAGAAGGAUUCACACGCUCGUGAUCUUGAUCUCAGAAUUAAAAAAACUUCAUGCUGAAUUUGACAGCUUUGUCAAGAUCUUCAGUGGAAGGGAGACAGGUGAAUGAGGGAGUUAUUUAUCAAAACUGCUUUGUAUUUUUUGUUCUUAUGUUAUCUGGCAAGAUGGAAUAUUGCAAGCUCCCACAUCCUGCUAGGGAGGCAAAAGGUUUGAAUAGGUUCAAUAAAGCAAAAUUUUAAAAAUCAGAUGCUCAAGGGCACUGAGGAGAUUAAAUUGUCCUCAUAUUUUAAUGGGCUGCUUUAAUUGCAACGUACAUACAACAUAUUAAUGAGUGGAGAAGGCCUAUCUAAAUACUAAAUAAAAAAGCACCACUAUCAGCUUUAAAAGUCUGCUCUAUAGAAAAGUCUAAACACCAGAUUUAGGGUAAGAUAGCUCAGAAAAUACAGAAGAAUUGGAGCCAAUAUAAAAUAUGUGAUGUGGUAAUAUUUGCAUAUGAUCAUUAUUAAGUGGCUUCUUUGACAUUCUGUGCAGUCCCCACACUUGAGGAAUUUUCAGCAUUAUCCAGUGUCAGCUGGAACCUGGAAGAAUUUAUAGCAAGAAUCAAUAGCCAGGACUUGAGUGAGAGCUGAUCAAAAACAGAACUGAGAUUUCCCUUUUUAAGAAGCAAGAAGUUCAAACCACAGUUUGCUGGGCACCAUUUGGCACCAGAGAACACCUCUGGAAAAUUUGUCUCAAGCUGUAUUUAGUACAUCCAAAGAAACUGUAGCUCCCACUUGAGCCAUUUCAGCUCAAAUACAAAUAAAUAAAUAUUUUAGAGAGUUGUGUGCUUCUGAGUAAUGUUUAGUUCUAAUAUGUGCCUUUCUAGGUGAGUUCCCACCUCAGAGCAUAUUCAUUUCCAACUGCAAUUCUAUAAGUGUGCACCUGUACUUUGUGUGUUAAAGUCCAUCAAAAAUACACUAGGCAUUGAAAUUCUAAUAUUGAAAGCUUUUAGUAAAAUGGCUAAUGAGAGACCUUCAGACAAGCACUUCCCAGCAAGUUUGUUUUAGAAUAAUUAUAGUUUCUUUCAAUUACUGGCAUUUAAUGACAGGCUGUUGAGACAUUUUUUUUAGUUCCAUAAUCCUUGUAGAGUCCUUUGUUCUUGAAAUUUUAUCACCAUCUUGAUGCAUGAGUGUGAGUUACUCCAGGGAAAUGCUGUUCAAUGCUUGCUUGAAUACAAUUUUAAAAUGUAAUUUUUAUCUUUUCUCUGAUUUGUACCUAGGUCAAAUUCAUGUUAUGAUCUUGGGUUCCUUCUUGAAAACCCACUGCAGCUUCAUUCAGGAUCUUAAAAUAUUAUGUAAGUCACAUCCUGGAAGAUGUGAAAAUAGAUUUUUUUUCAUCUUCUACUUAAAGCAUCCUUUUGAGUUACUAAACUUUCCUCCGAAGUACACUGGUUUUGAUCCAGAAUUUCAUUCCAUGACAUUCAAACUGUUCUGAUCACAUCAAAUGUAAUUCCACCCCCACCGAAACCCACCUCAGGCCUUCUCCCAGCGUGAUCCAGUGAUUUUUUUUUUGAGAUGUUACAGGAAGUUACACACUACCAUUUUGAUACACAACAGUGAAUACACUUUGGAGCCUUUUUUCAGAAUUCCUGGUAGCAUUGCAACUCAGCAAACCGGUUUGAUACAUCUGUGUAAACAAUUUAACUUGUCCCCUGUUCCCUCACUGCUUUGCUUUUGACAAAUUGACAGAAUUUUGACAAAUAUAUUCACCAAAGCUUUCAUACAGUGCCUAUCAUCCCAUUCAAAUGGUUUCUUCACAAAAAAUACCAGUAGUGUUGGUCCUGCUACACCUGUCUUUGUGGUGAUCUACAGGAUAUUUCAACCUCAAUGUCAUGUAUGCAGAAUUUUUUAUUUUAUUUUAGUUGCAAAAAUAUUUGCCACCUGAAAUAUUCUUCACUCAUUGAAGCCAUCAAACAGAAAUAUAAGCAAGGUUGUCUGCUUUCAACAGAGAUCUACAAAAAUCCUCAUUACCUCCUGGGGAAAAAAGGGUAAAAGACAUUUGCAGAGAAAAGUGGGGCAUCUAUUGUUGCUGCAUAUUUAAUUUUAUUUGAUUUACUAUACUUAACUUUCUCCCUUGUUGGCAAAAACAACCUUAGCUGCUGCUCAUGCUGUUUGCCAGCAUCUCCAUCUGCAUCUUUGGUUACUCCUCGGAUUCGUUCUCCUGCAUUUGCAGAACGCUGCUUGCAUCCUCUGCACUCCCGUGGGAAUGUUUCCCCUUUGUGGCUAACAUUCACAGCAGCAUGAAGUUACUCUGGUUGUGGAUGACAUUUUCCUGCAGCUGCAGACACCUGAGCCCAGCUCCCUCUCGAGUCUCUUACGUGGCCUUGGUGAUCACUGCCAGCGAUAAGGGAAUGCCUCUGUCUGGUCUUCGGAAGUCUUGGAUUCGCGCUGUGAAUCCACACCCACGUUUCAGUUCUGUCAGUAAUCCCAAAUCCCCCGUGGGAGAGUUUAUCUGAAUUAAUCUCAUCUUGUAAUUUUGCCAUGUAGGUUUAUUUUGCAACUGGACCAUUCCUUAUCUUACCUUCUGUAGGUUUUCUUUCUCCUGGGAGUGGUUUCCAUAAAACACUCAGAAAGCAUUUAAUUCCGUCUCAAAGUUAGUGCUGCAUUUGCUUGGAAUUUCUGUCUGGCCUGUUUUCUGCUGACCUUUACUUAAAUGAUUAUGUAUAUGCAUGUGUGCACGUGUAUUUGUAGAGCUUUUCUAUCUUCCUCGGGUUUAAUUUUACCCCAUAAGGCAAGCUUUCCUCUCGAGUGUGAUGUCCCAGUUGUUUUAUUAGGAUUGUGACAAGUCUGCUCACACGAGGCACAUCCACAGCACAUCUGAAUGAAAGCAAACAUCCUGUGUUCCUCAGCCUUCUCUAAACCCCAGCAGAUGGCUGCUGCUUCUGCAAACUGCGUGCAAUAGGAUGGAUCACAUUUCCCAUGCAGCAGACUUAUUUCUGGAAUCCAAACCCAGUAUACUUCCAGAAGGUGGGAACAUGGAUCCAGCCACAAAGCAGUUUAGCCCAAACCAGUCCUACACGGUGCCUCCCCACAGCUCAGCCCCUCUUGCUGUUUGGGAUGGAUGUACAGCGGGGCUGAGCCAGCCAGGUGGACUGGUAACAACUUCCACGUGCAAAUCUUUAAACACCAAGCCUAAAAGUUCUGUGUGCAUUUGUUAGAAUCUGUGUGUGUUUAUUUUUUCCCUCUGUGAUUAGGUAUCGCGUGGAGAUAAAAAGUGUUUUUUGGAAUGAUUGGGUUUCCUUGAUGCUUAGAGCCAGUCCCUGCUCAGGAUCCUGGCAGGAUCUGCAGGAGGUGACGUGUAUUUUGUCUGCCUCAGGUAACACUCGGGGGACACGUGCCACAGAGAAUUGUCCUUACCCUGGUUCCCUGCAGCAGCAGUACCCUGAUGUGUCUGUGCUUAACAGAAUCAGGGGCACUUCAGUGUCUGGGUGAAUUAGCAGGAAUCGCAGAAUGACAGAAUGUUUUGGGCUGGAAGAGACCUCAAAGAUCAUCUUAUUUCACUCCCUGCUGUGGACAGGGGCACCUUUCAGUAGACCAGGUUACUCCAAGGAUCAUCCAACGUGGCCCUGACCAGGGAUGGGACAUCCAUAACUUCUCUGCAAAACUUUUCUCAGCUUGAAACUUGGUCCUGAAUGUGUGUGGUGUGUUCAGGGACUCAUUCCCACUCAUUCUUUCUCCCAGAAGAAGGCAACAAAGGCAUUAUUUGGGCUGCAAGUCCAGGCAAAGAGCCUCUGCUAGGUCUGUUGAGAAUGUUUUGUCCUGAGGAGAGGGCAGUUUGGGAGGGGGCUUAAUCUUUCCAUGCUUAAAAUUUUUCUCCAGUGAGCAACAGGCUCAGUCUCAGCCAUUUGUGCCCACUUCCCAUCUCAUGUUGGAGUAUUUAGCAUCAAAGAAGGCUUUUGAAAGAACACCUGCAUUCUUCUACAACUUGUGCACUGAUUUCUUUGCAUGGAUGAUCUUCAAUGGGCUUCACAUCUGUUCUGUUGCAUUCAGAGGCCCUAAAAAUGAUGCCAUUUGUUUAGAAUCAUAGAAUCAUUAGGGAUGGAAAAUACCUCCAAGAUCAUCAAAUCUAGGAAGUAAUUCUAAAGAAUUACAAAAUUUCUGUUGUUUCUCCUCCAAAUACACUGAUUAUAAAAAUGUCUGUGUGCAAGCCAGGCUAGCAUUAACUACCCUUGCGUGCCUCCAUCAGGCAGAACCUCUCUGGUCAUGCAAAGCCAAUAUACAAUUAAUGUAUAUCAUGGGAUAUUCUCCUCCAUCACACCAAUGUAGAAAGCUCCCCGUGGCUCUGGAGUGCAUAUUUCCAUUAAGGAUUCAGUAGGCUAGUCACAGUCCAAAAUAGUCUUCAUUAUUUCCUAAAUCAAAGUUAUUCACACUUCCAAUUUCCUUUAAAAUUCACUGUUUGUUUUGUUUUUUUUAACAAACUGUUGUUAAGCCCAGCACACUGUUGGUCAAAACCUCUGACUAGUUGGAGUAAAAGAUGAGAUUGUUGAUCCUGUCUUCCAACAGCUUCUUCUGUGCUUGAAGAGAUACUCCCCAGAUGGUUAUGACUUUUUUUUCCCACUAAUGGGACUAAGUGUCAUUGACUGGGGUAGGCAGCCAAAGACUUUCUUGAUUUUUUUUAUUUUAUUUUUACAAAAGGUUGUGCUCAGAAAAAUCAAUAUUACAGAAAAAAGCAACCUAUCAGCAUUCCCCUUUAUGUAGAGAGGAAUUUCCAUUUGCUUUAUUUUAUUAUGUAUUCUGGCCACAGAAGGAUGGGCACUGAAAUCAGGUGGAUAACCUGCAGCCAUGGAACUCUGACAAUAAUUUAGUAUAUUUUGCAAAUUGCAAUAUUUUUGCUCUUGUUUUGGUUCUUUAAUCGAGAAGAAAGAUUUACAACUGGUUGUACUGACCCACUCAAAGGUGUUUGUAAAUAAAGUAUGAACCACAAA
This is a non-coding RNA of Cyanistes caeruleus (blue tit), 5938 nucleotides long. The record is from RefSeq and is a predicted model, not a curated record. Lineage: Eukaryota; Metazoa; Chordata; Aves; Passeriformes; Paridae.